RNAcentral lists this ribosomal RNA (468 nucleotides) under uncultured bacterium. RNAcentral's name for it is "partial 16S ribosomal RNA". It matches the Rfam family "Bacterial small subunit ribosomal RNA", at positions 28 to 507 of the family's 1533-position model. The record is from RNAcentral.
GACGAACGCUGGCGGCGUGCUUAACACAUGCAAGUCGAACGGAAAGGCCCUGCUUUUGUGGGGUGCUCGAGUGGCGAACGGGUGAGUAACACGUGAGUAACCUGCCCUUGACUUUGGGAUAACUUCAGGAAACUGGGGCUAAUACCGGAUAGGAGCUCCUGCUGCAUGGUGGGGGUUGGAAAGUUUCGGCGGUUGGGGAUGGACUCGCGGCUUAUCAGCUUGUUGGUGAGGUAGUGGCUUACCAAGGCUUUGACGGGUAGCCAGCCUGAGAAGGUGACCGGCCACAUUGGGACUGAGAUACGGCCCAGACGCCUAAGGGAGGCAGCAGUGGGAAAUAUUGCACAAGGGGCGGAAGCCUGAUGCAGCAUCGCCGCGUGAGGGAUCACGGCCUUAGGGUUGUAAACCGCUUUCGCCUGUGAAGAAACUAGAGUGACGGUAAUGGGAAAAGAAGCACCGGCUAACUACGUG